UACGUAGGGGGCAAGCGUUGUCCGGAAUCAUUGGGCGUAAAGAGCGCGUAGGCGGUCCGAUAAGUCGGUUGUGAAAACUGGGGGCUCAACCCUCAGAGGCCGACCGAUACUGUCGGGCUAGAGUCCGGAAGAGGCGAGUGGAAUUCCCAGUGUAGCGGUGAAAUGCGCAGAUAUUGGGAAGAACACCAGUGGCGAAGGCGGUUCUCUGGGACGGUACUGACGCUGAGACGCGAAAGCGUGGGGAGCGAACAGG
RNAcentral lists this ribosomal RNA (253 nucleotides) under uncultured bacterium. Its description in RNAcentral is "partial 16S ribosomal RNA". It matches the Rfam family "Bacterial small subunit ribosomal RNA", at positions 524 to 776 of the family's 1533-position model. The record is from RNAcentral.